Molecule: ribosomal RNA, 492 nt
Filed under: uncultured bacterium
Lineage: Bacteria
Description: partial 16S ribosomal RNA
Rfam family: Bacterial small subunit ribosomal RNA
Source: RNAcentral
AGUGAACGCUGGCGGUAGGCCUAACACAUGCAAGUCGAACGGCAGCACAGUAAGAGCUUGCUCUUACGGGUGGCGAGUGGCGGACGGGUGAGGAAUACAUCGGAAUCUACUUUUUCGUGGGGGAUAACGUAGGGAAACUUACGCUAAUACCGCAUACGACCUACGGGUGAGAGCAGGGGAUCUUCGGACCUUGCGCGAUUGAAUGAGCCGAUGUCGGAUUAGCUAGUUGGCGGGGUAAAGGCUCACCAAGGCGACGAUCCGUAGCUGGUCUGAGAGGAUGAUCAGCCACACUGGAACUGAGACACGGUCCAGACUCCUACGGGAGGCAGCAGUGGGGAAUAUUGGACAAUGGGCGCAAGCCUGAUCCAGCCAUACCGCGUGGGUGAAGAAGGCCUUCGGGUUGUAAAGCCCUUUUGUUGGGAAAGAAAAGCAGCAGGUUAAUACCCCGCUGUUCUGACGGUACCCAAAGAAUAAGCACCGGCUAACUUCGUG